CAAAUACUCCCUCCGUCCGGAAAUACUUGUCAUCAAAAUGGAUAAAAGGAAAUGUAUCUAGAUGUAUUUGAGUUUUAGAUACAUAUCUUUUUAUCCAUUUUGAUGACAAGUAUUUUCGGACGGAGGGGGUAGAAA
This is a non-coding RNA of Triticum aestivum (bread wheat), 135 nucleotides long. NCBI's taxonomy places the organism in Eukaryota, Viridiplantae, Streptophyta, Magnoliopsida, Poales, Poaceae. The record is from Rfam.